CCCGGCCCGGCCGCCACCACCACCCCCUUGUGCCCCCCAGCAGCAGCACCCCGCUGCCUCCCCGGGCUCCGGGCUGCUGCCGAGGCCGCCGCCGCCUGGCUCGGCACGCCGCUCCUCCCCGCUCCACCGCCGGAACUACGCCGCCCUCCCCGGCGACGCGAUGUCCGGGGCGGCCACAACCGCAGCCGGGGGGCUGGGGGGGAGAGAGGGGGCGAGGGUAGACCAGAGCGCCCCAGGGUGGGUCAGGGCGGGCCGCCUCCUCCUCCUUCUCCUCCUCCUCCUCGCCUCAGGGCCGCUGUCCCCACCGCCCCCUUUCUCCUCCCCGAGGCGACGAGGAGCCAAAAAUCAGGCAAAAUGAGGCAAAAAGGGGUGAUUUCGGGUGCCUCGGCGCUGCCCCGCCAGGCUGCACGCUGAGGUGGGUGCUGUCAGUUGAAGGAAUGAGUGCCAUGAGAAAAUCAGAAUGGAUUUCAGUCACCUGUCCUCUGUUCUCGCGUUCCUACUCAGAAAUGGCCUUUACUAUCCACGUCCUGUCCCAGCAGGUAAACGUUUGCCAUCCUACCCCACCCUAAAACACAACACUGAGUAAAGCCUCAGCCUACACGUCUGGUACUGGGGAGCCAACGUGCUCUUCCUGAGGUCAAGACAAGGCGUUCCAAACAUAUGGACACAGUUAUCCCACGCGUAAUGCUAGAGCCCGCUUCGUUUCCAACGUGAGGAAUUUUACUUCUCAUGUCAGCCAACUUCUGUUUAUUAGAUUACUGUUUCUCAGGCUUUGUGCCCGUGUUGCUUCUGAGGGUUGGUGUGGGCUUGGUGUACCUGGUGUCUCUGCAGCAUCAGCGCUGACCCAAAAUGAGAUAGGGGGUUUGUGUGGUAGAUGUUUUUCAAGUGAAUGUGCUCACAAAUCCCCUAGGCACAAUAUGGAUUUAAGACAGAGUGGUAGGGUUCUCAACAGGCAGGAUAUAUCAAUGUCACUGAAGACAGAGGUAUUUCGUCCCUUAGCUGCAGCCCUUGCACCACUUGGCUGUUCCUGCUAGCAGAAGCUUUUCCAUUGCUUUUCCUAAUCAUUUGACCGGAGUCUUUGGAAGACUCUGUGUUUCAGUGUUCAGCCCCAAAGUGCCACCCUACUUGAGCCUGGCUUAAUGGGCUACUAAAGGGCAAAUGGAUGCUCUCUGGGAAGAGAGGACUAGUCAGAGACAUGAGCUGCGCAGCCCAGAAUUUGGGGAAAGGGUUAAUGGGAAUGCCAACAGUAAAGGCAAGCUACAGAAAGCAGCUUAAUUGGAUAAAUGGUUUAAGCUAGAUAAACAAUGAAACAUUAUUCUCUAAUCACGUGCUACAAUAGAAUGGAGGCAUUAGCAGGUGGUAUUAAAAAGGUUUUUUUUGCCUUUCUUACUGCUUUCUCUUGACCUGAUUUUUGGAACUAGGCAGAUGCAAUGUUAGCCCUGUGAACGAAAGUGUUUCUGCUUGUUGAGAGACUGAUUUUCAGGGCACUAAAAGCACUGGAUAGGGGACUGCAUCUUCUCUCCUAAUCUGUCUGCUGUGAGGCAGUAUCCUUAUCUUGAGAACAGGCGGUGAAUUUUUAACCUUCUGGACCUGGGGAGAUAAAGACAAAUUUAGCAACUUUGCUGCUUUCCCUUUUUCCUGUGAUUUCAAGGUUAAGAAUUAUGAUCAUAUCUGGGGAGUCUUGCUGUGUUUCAGUGACUCCAUACAGAAAGAUAAGUCUUCAUAUUGUCCCCAGAGAGCAAUGCCUGUGGAUGGCCAUCGUUCAUGCAGGUGUAAACCUGAUCGUGCCCAGAACAGGUUGGAGCUUGUGAUGCUAUAGCUACAUGCAACUGAAUUACUGCAAUGUGUAAACAUUUUAUAAAGGAAGAUAGCACAGAGUCUUUUAUGCUUAUGUCACCUGAACGGGUGCAAUAAAUAUAAGCAGUGCAGGUUCUUCA
This 1937-nucleotide long non-coding RNA is filed under the name Anas platyrhynchos platyrhynchos (common mallard). Its description in RNAcentral is "lncRNA (ENSAPLG00000029882.1)". The record is from RNAcentral. Lineage: Eukaryota; Metazoa; Chordata; Aves; Anseriformes; Anatidae.